GACGAACGCUGGCGGCGUGCCUAAUACAUGCAAGUCGAGCGAAGCGACGGGUGGGUAAGUAAUGCGUGGGUAACCUGCCCUUAAGUCUGGGAUACCAUUUGGAAACAGAUACUAAUACCGGAUACUAAAGGAUGCACGUGCGAUGCAUUAGCUGGUGGGUAAGGUAACGGCUUACCACGGCGAUGAUGCAUAGCCGGGUUGAGAGAGGGAUCGGCCACAUUGGGACUGAGACACGGCCCAAACUCCUACGGGAGGCAGCAGUAGGGAAUCUUCGACAAUGGACGAAAGUCUGAUGGAGCAACGCCGCGUGAGUGAAGAAGGUUUUCGGAUCGUAAAGCUCUGUUGUUGGUGAAGCGGUAAUCAACCAGAAAGUCACGGCUAACUACGUGCCAGCAGCCGCGGUAAUUC
This 408-nucleotide ribosomal RNA is filed under the name uncultured bacterium. RNAcentral describes it as "partial 16S ribosomal RNA". It matches the Rfam family "Bacterial small subunit ribosomal RNA", at positions 28 to 526 of the family's 1533-position model. The record is from RNAcentral.